AUGUCGUCGCCGCCCGCCGCGCCGGGCCCGGCCUCGCCGCCGGGAAACCGCACAGCGCCGCCCCCGGCCUCCGCGCCGCCCGCUACCAACUCGACGCCCCCUUCGCCGCCUGCGCCACCGCCCUCUUCUCCACUCCCACCGCCGUCGACGCCCGCCGCGACGCCCCCGUCGCCGGGUGCCACCCCCGCGACGCCCUCCCUCCCGCCUCCCACGGCGCCCGGGGUGCCCGCCGCGCCGUCUCCCCCGUCGACCACGCCUUCUCCGCCGACCGAUCGUCCGACGCCGUCCGCCCAGGCCUCGCCGCCGCCGCCGACGAGCUCAGCGCUCAACACGGCCACGGUGGCGGGGAUCGCGGUGGGCGGGCUGAUCGCGCUGCUGCUCGCCAGCCUGCUCUGCUUCUGCAUGUUCAAGAAGAAGAGGCGGCACCACCCGCACCACCCUCCGCCUCCCCCGCCGCCCCACCACCUGCACUACUACGGGCACCCGCCGCCGCCGCCGCCCCCGCCGCCGUUCAAAGGGGAUCAAUAUGGGUGGCAGCAUAAUGCCCCUCCGCCACCCCCUGAUCAUGUUGUGAAGAUGAAUUCACAUCCUUCCACUAAACAGCCGCCGCCUCCGGUCAAUGUAAACAGCAGUGGUUCGGGUUCACAUUUCUCAGGCGGCGGUGAGAAUCGACCCCUGCAAUCACCGUUUGGCAACGCCCUCAGCUUCUCGAAAUGCACUUUUACUUAUGAAGAGUUGGCUGUGGCGACCAAUGAAUUCGCCGAUGCUAAUCUUCUCGGGCAAGGUGGCUUUGGAUUUGUUCACAAAGGAGUGCUGCCAGAUGGCACAGAAGUUGCCGUUAAGCAAUUGAGAGAUGGAAGUGGGCAGGGAGAGCGUGAGUUCCAGGCAGAGGUUGAGAUUAUCAGCCGAGUACAUCAUAAACAUCUCGUGACGUUGGUUGGUUAUUGCAUUUCUGAAGACAAGAGGUUGCUUGUCUAUGAGUUUGUUCCCAAUAACACAUUAGAAUUCCAUUUACAUGGAAGGCGUGGACCAACUAUGGACUGGCCUUCAAGACUACGUAUUGCUUUGGGUUCUGCGAAGGGAUUGGCCUAUCUUCACGAAGACUGCCAUCCAAAGAUCAUUCAUCGUGACAUAAAGGCAUCAAAUAUUCUUCUGGAUUACAGAUGUGAAGCUAAGGUGGCAGAUUUUGGACUUGCAAAGUUAACCUCUGAUAAUAACACCCAUGUUUCCACCAGAGUAAUGGGCACAUUUGGGUACCUUGCACCAGAGUAUGCUUCUUCUGGCAAGCUCACUGAGAAAUCAGAUGUCUUUUCUUUUGGAGUAAUGCUUCUUGAAUUAAUAACUGGACGCCGGCCUGUAAGUUCAAAGCAAGCGCAUAUGGAUGACAGCUUGGUUGACUGGGCAAGGCCUUUGAUGACACAAGCACUCGAGGAUGGUAAUCACGAUGCUUUAGUGGAUCCCCACAUGGGAAUCGAUUUCAAUGAUAACGAGAUGGCAAGGAUGAUCGCCUGCGCAGCCGCAUGUGUACGCCAUUCUGCACGGCGACGCCCACGCAUGAGCCAGGUUGUUCGGGCCCUGGAAGGCGACGUGUCGCUGGAUGAUCUGCACGAAGGCGUCCGGCCUGGCCACAGCCGGUUCAUGGGAUCGCACGCCAGCUCCGAGUAUGACACCAGCCAGUACAACGAGGACCUGAAGAAGUUCAGGAAGAUGGCGCUCGGCACCAGCAGCUUCCAGAGCAGCCAGCUAACACCGUCCAGCGGCGAGCACGAGCAGGAGCACCAGAACCCGUCCGUCCCGAGCAGCGACGGCCAUCAGCAGACGCAGGAGGUGGAGUUGGGGACUAGUACGAAGCGAGACGACGGCGACGUCGAGAGCCAGGCUUCCAUGAGAUGA
RNAcentral lists this ribosomal RNA (1893 nucleotides) under Triticum aestivum (bread wheat). RNAcentral describes it as "partial small subunit ribosomal RNA". The record is from RNAcentral. Lineage: Eukaryota; Viridiplantae; Streptophyta; Magnoliopsida; Poales; Poaceae.